This 72-nucleotide transfer RNA is filed under the name Pangasianodon gigas (Mekong giant catfish). RNAcentral describes it as "tRNA-Gln". It matches the Rfam family "tRNA". From Rfam's summary of the family: Transfer RNA (tRNA) molecules are approximately 80 nucleotides in length. Their secondary structure includes four short double-helical elements and three loops (D, anti-codon, and T loops). Lineage: Eukaryota; Metazoa; Chordata; Actinopteri; Siluriformes; Pangasiidae. The record is from RNAcentral.
UCCCUGGAGGACUAGUGGUUAGGCCACAGCGCUCUGAGCGCUGUGGCUCGGGUUAGAUUCCCGGCCAGAGAA